UACGGAGGAUCCGAGCGUUAUCCGGAUUUAUUGGGUUUAAAGGGUGCGCAGGCGGUAGAUUAAGUCGGCGGUGAAAUUUUGCAGCUCAACUGUAAAAGUGCCUUCGAAACUGGUUUCCUUGAGUGUGGAUGAAGUAGGCGGAAUUUGUGGUGUAGCGGUGAAAUGCAUAGAUAUCACGAGGAACUCCGAUUGCGCAGGCAGCUUACUAAACCACUACUGACGCUCAUGCACGAAGGCGUGGGGAUCAAACAGGAUUAGAUACCCU
Molecule: ribosomal RNA, 265 nt
Filed under: uncultured prokaryote
Description: partial 16S ribosomal RNA
Rfam family: Bacterial small subunit ribosomal RNA
Source: RNAcentral